UACGUAGGCAGCAAGCGUUGUUCGGAGUUACUGGGCGUAAAGGGUGUGUAGGCGGUUCUCUAAGUUUGGUGUGAAAUCUCCCGGCUCAACUGGGAGGGUGCGCCGAAAACUGGGGGGCUAGAGUACUGGAUGGGAGAGUGGAAUUCCUGGUGUAGCGGUGAAAUGCGUAGAUAUCAGGAGGAACACCUGUGGUGUAGACGGCUCUCUGGACAGUAACUGACGCUGAGACACGAAAGCGUGGGUAGCAAACAGG
This 253-nucleotide ribosomal RNA is filed under the name uncultured bacterium. RNAcentral's name for it is "partial 16S ribosomal RNA". It matches the Rfam family "Bacterial small subunit ribosomal RNA", at positions 524 to 776 of the family's 1533-position model. The record is from RNAcentral.